Molecule: small RNA, 99 nt
Filed under: Flavobacterium sp. 1
Lineage: Bacteria; Pseudomonadati; Bacteroidota; Flavobacteriia; Flavobacteriales; Flavobacteriaceae
Description: Flavo-1 RNA
Rfam family: Flavo-1 RNA
Source: RNAcentral
UUUUAGUCCUGAUAGAAGCGGCAUCUCCCGAUUUAGAAAAACAAGGCCUUUUGCUGUAGUUUUUGUUAAUCGGGAAUAUAGCGGACAGCAGGAAACCAU